GUGAAAGGCCCCGGGUUCGAA
This 21-nucleotide microRNA is filed under the name Cordylochernes scorpioides. Lineage: Eukaryota; Metazoa; Arthropoda; Arachnida; Pseudoscorpiones; Chernetidae. The record is from RNAcentral.